GUGUCAGCAGCCGCGGUAAUACGUAGGGGGCGAGCGUUGUUCGGAUUUACUGGGCGUAAAGAGCGCGUAGGUGGUUCGAUUAGUCGGAGGUGAAAUCCCUCGGCUCAACCGAGGACCCGCGUCCGAUACUGUCGAACUUGAGUGCAGGAGAGGAGAGCGGAAUUCCCAGUGUAGCGGUGAAAUGCGUAGAUAUUGGGAGGAACACCGGUGGCGAAGGCGGCUCUCUGGACUGUCACUGACACUGAGGCGCGAAAGCUAGGGGAGCAAACGGGAUUAGAUACCCCGGUAGUCCUAGCCGUAAACGAUGGGCACUAGGUGUGGGAGGUAUCGACCCCUUCCGUGCCGCAGCUAACGCAUUAAGUGCCCCGCCUGGGGAGUACGGCCGCAAGGUUGAA
Molecule: ribosomal RNA, 395 nt
Filed under: uncultured bacterium
Lineage: Bacteria
Description: bacterial SSU rRNA
Rfam family: Bacterial small subunit ribosomal RNA
Source: RNAcentral